Long non-coding RNA from Oncorhynchus masou masou (cherry salmon), 1298 nucleotides. RefSeq lists it as uncharacterized. The record is from RefSeq and is a predicted model, not a curated record. The transcript has 3 exons. NCBI's taxonomy places the organism in Eukaryota, Metazoa, Chordata, Actinopteri, Salmoniformes, Salmonidae.
CUAAAGAGCCGAGGACAACAGACACUCAAGACUGCAUCUCAAUAGAGCGCUAGCGGGACAGAAAGCAGCCGGGACAGAGAGCAGCCGGGACAGAGAGCAGCCGGGACAGAAAGCAGCCGGGACAGAAAGCAGCCCGGACAGAAAGCAGCCCGGACAGAAAGCAGCCCGGACAGAGAGCAGCCGGGACAAAGAGCAGCCGGGACAGAGAGCAGCCGGGACAGAGAGCAGCCGGGAUAGAGAGCAGCCGGGACAGAGAGCAGCCGGGACAGAGAGCAGCCGGGACAGAGAGCAGCCGGGACAGAGAGCAGCCGGGAUAGAGAGCGAGAGAGGAGAAGGAAAUCAAGGAAAACAGACAGAAAAUGACAGAGAGGGAAAGGAGGGACAGAUGAAGAAUUGAUGAACGAGCGCUUCAGCUAACCAACCCUCAACUGAGAACAGCACAACGACAUUACCGCCUCCGUUCCCUGACCUACGCUGUCCAAGUAAUUUGUUCAGCCUUCGAGGACCUUCACCAGGUGUUCAUAAACAGAUAAUGGCGAAUCCAUCCCAGUGGAGGGGUGUGUGUGCAUGUAUUCGCCUGUGUGUGUGAGAUGAGGGUAGCACCUGUGGCCUCUUUCCAUGAUACCACGACCCCACCAGUCAGUUGACACAGAGCACCGGUGUCACGUCAUUCCCCCCCCCCCCGUUUGUUCCUGCCACCAUGCAAGCUUCCACAUGCAUCCUUCAGUGUUAGGGUCUAGCCGUAACAACGACAAAUGUAAUAACUCUGGCAAGAGUAAUAACUUCUAGAUGUGUUAUGUAAUAAACCCAGUAAAUGUAAUAACACUGGCAAGAGUAAUAACUUCUAGAUUUGUUAUGUAAUAAACCCAGUAAAUGUAAUAACACUGGCAAGAGUAAUAACUUCUAGAUUUGUUAUGUAAUAAACCCAGUAAAUGUAAUAACUUGACGGUAAAGGUAAUAUCCUUUCUCUGCUAAAUGUAACAAGUUGAUACAUUUAGCAGUGGUUAUUACAUUAACAGGUGAGUAACAACUUUUUUCAUGAAUAAUGUAAUAAACGGCAACAAAUCAUGCAAUACAUUUCUUUCUUUUUUUAAAUGUUAUGUAUUACUUUGCUCUAUUUGAUGAACAUACAUCCCCCCCAAUCGUACAUAAUCUAGACAGUCACAAGCACACAUUGAUAUGCAGUCACACACAGGCACACACAAAAGAAAGACCUGAACAAUCCCCGGGGAGUGUGCACAUUUCAAUGUGUGCUUGUGAGUGCCUAAAUGAGUAUUUCUGUAUGAUGUGCAUGUGUU